This 378-nucleotide ribosomal RNA is filed under the name uncultured bacterium. RNAcentral describes it as "bacterial SSU rRNA". It matches the Rfam family "Bacterial small subunit ribosomal RNA", at positions 523 to 898 of the family's 1533-position model. The record is from RNAcentral.
AUACGUAGGGUGCGAGCGUUGUCCGGAAUUAUUGGGCGUAAAGAGCUUGUAGGCGGUUUGUCGCGUCUGCUGUGAAAAUCCGGGGCUCAACCCCGGACUUGCAGUGGGUACGGGCAGACUAGAGUGUGGUAGGGGAGACUGGAAUUCCUGGUGUAGCGGUGAAAUGCGCAGAUAUCAGGAGGAACACCGAUGGCGAAGGCAGGUCUCUGGGCCACUACUGACGCUGAGAAGCGAAAGUGUGGGGAGCGAACAGGAUUAGAUACCCUGGUAGUCCACGCCGUAAACGUUGGGAACUAGGUGGGGGUCUCAUUCCACGAGAUCCGUGCCGCAGCUAACGCAUUAAGUUCCCCGCCUGGGGAGUACGGCCGCAAGGCUAAA